GGAUGUGAGGGCAAUCUGGCUGUGACAUCUGUCACCCCAUUGCUCACCAGGAUUGAUUUGGCUGAUGGGUGUCCCCUUCCUCCCCCACUGCUCCAUAUGCAUCCCUCCCAAAGCUGUACACUUGGUCCAAGAGGACAACCAUCCACAAUAGAGGACUGUUUCCUUGGUCAAGGGUAUACAGUAGCUGUGCUUCUCUGCUAGGACCUCCAAACAAGCUCCCAAGAUUGGAAGUGGACAAUGCUUAAAAAGUAGUCCUGGAGCUGAGCAUGAUGCCUGUAAUCUCAGCACUUGGGAAGCUGAGGCAG
RNAcentral lists this small nuclear RNA (305 nucleotides) under Heterocephalus glaber (naked mole-rat). Its description in RNAcentral is "7SK RNA". It matches the Rfam family "7SK RNA". Rfam says of the family: 7SK was discovered as an abundant small nuclear RNA in the mid-70s but a possible function has only recently been suggested. Two independent studies have found that 7SK RNA binds the CDK9/cyclin T complex (known as elongation factor P-TEFb). The record is from Rfam by way of RNAcentral. Lineage: Eukaryota; Metazoa; Chordata; Mammalia; Rodentia; Bathyergidae.